RNAcentral lists this ribosomal RNA (464 nucleotides) under uncultured bacterium. RNAcentral describes it as "partial 16S ribosomal RNA". It matches the Rfam family "Bacterial small subunit ribosomal RNA", at positions 28 to 507 of the family's 1533-position model. The record is from RNAcentral.
GACGAACGCUGGCGGCGUGCUUAACACAUGCAAGUCGUACGGUAAGGCCCUUUCGGGGGUACACGAGUGGCGAACGGGUGGGUAACACGUGAGUAACCUGCCCACAACUGUGUGAGAACUCUAGGAAACUGGUGCUAAUACUUGAUAGGUGCUCCUUCUUCAUGGUGGGGGGUGGAAAGCUCCGGGGGUUGGGGAUGGACUCGCGGCCUGUCAGCUUGUUGGUGGGGGAGUGGCUGACCAAGGAGGCCACGGGUAGCCGGCCGGAGAGGGUGACCGGCCACAUGGGGACGGGGUUAGGGCCCGGACUCCUACGGGGGGCGGCGGGGGGAAUAUUGGCCCAAGGGCGCGAGGCCGAUGCCGGCACGCCGCGGGCGGGAAGACCGGCUUCCGGUUGGAAAACGCUUUCCGCAGGGACGAAGCUUUUUGUGACGGUACCUGCAGAAGAAGCACCGGCUAACUACGUG